GUAGGGUGCGAGCGUUAAUCGGAAUUACUGGGCGUAAASCGUGCGCAGGCCGGUGGUGCAAGACAGAUGUGAAAUCCCCGGGCUUACCCUGGGAACUGCAUUUGUGACUGCACGGCUAGAGUGCGGCAGAGGGGAGUGGAAUUCCGCGUGUAGCAGUGAAAUGCGUAGAUAUGCGGAGGAACACCGAUGGCGAAGGCDGCUCCCUGGKCCUGCACUGACGCUCAUGCACGAAAGCGUGGGGAGCAAACAGGAUUAGAUACCCUGGUAGUCCACGCCCUAAACGAUGUCAACUGGUUGUUGGUCCUUCACUGGAUCAGUAACGUACKAACGCGUGAAGUUGACCGCC
RNAcentral lists this ribosomal RNA (346 nucleotides) under uncultured bacterium. RNAcentral describes it as "bacterial SSU rRNA". It matches the Rfam family "Bacterial small subunit ribosomal RNA", at positions 527 to 873 of the family's 1533-position model. The record is from RNAcentral.